AUUGAACGCUCGCGGGAUGCUUUACACAUGCAAGUCGAACGGCAGCGCGGACUUCGGUCUGGCGGCGAGUGGCGAACGGGUGAGUAAUGUAUCGGAACGUGCCCAGUAGCGGGGGAUAACUACGCGAAAGCGUAGCUAAUACCGCAUACGCCCUACGGGGGAAAGCAGGGGAUCGCAAGACCUUGCACUAUUGGAGCGGCCGAUAUCGGAUUAGCUAGUUGGUGAGGUAACGGCUCACCAAGGCGACGAUCCGUAGCUGGUUUGAGAGGACGACCAGCCACACUGGGACUGAGACACGGCCCAGACUCCUACGGGAGGCAGCAGUGGGGAAUUUUGGACAAUGGGGGCAACCCUGAUCCAGCCAUCCCGCGUGUGCGAUGAAGGCCUUCGGGUUGUAAAGCACUUUUGGCAGGAAAGAAACGUCGCGGGCUAAUACCCCGUGGAACUGACGGUACCUGCAGAAUAAGCACCGGCUAACUACGU
RNAcentral lists this ribosomal RNA (483 nucleotides) under uncultured bacterium. Its description in RNAcentral is "partial 16S ribosomal RNA". It matches the Rfam family "Bacterial small subunit ribosomal RNA", at positions 30 to 506 of the family's 1533-position model. The record is from RNAcentral.